CCUACGGGGGGCAGCAGUGGGGAAUAUUGCACAAUGGGCGAAAGCCUGAUGCAGCGACGCCGCGUGAGGGAUGGAGGCCUUCGGGUUGUAAACCUCUUUCGCUCAUGGUCAAGCCGCAGCUUUGGGUUGUGGUGAGGGUAGUGGGUAAAGAAGCGCCGGCUAACUACGUGCCAGCAGCCGCGGUAAUACGUAGGGCGCGAGCGUUGUCCGGAAUUAUUGGGCGUAAAGGGCUUGUAGGCGGUUGGUCGCGUCUGCCGUGAAAUCCUCUGGCUUAACUGGGGGCGUGCGGUGGGUACGGGCUGACUUGAGUGCGGUAGGGGAGACUGGAACUCCUGGUGUAGCGGUGGAAUGCGCAGAUAUCAGGAAGAACACCGGUGGCGAAGGCGGGUCUCUGGGCCGUUACUGACGCUGAGGAGCGAAAGCGUGGGGAGCGAACAGGAUUAGAUACCCGGGUAGUC
This 458-nucleotide ribosomal RNA is filed under the name uncultured Actinomyces sp. RNAcentral's name for it is "bacterial SSU rRNA". It matches the Rfam family "Bacterial small subunit ribosomal RNA", at positions 338 to 795 of the family's 1533-position model. The record is from RNAcentral. Lineage: Bacteria; Bacillati; Actinomycetota; Actinomycetes; Actinomycetales; Actinomycetaceae.